GAGCGGCAUGGCCGCGGCAACCGAAUAGCGAAAGUGCAGCGAUUUUGUGGCGACGCGACGUCUGCGAAUGUGCGUUUCCUAUGUUACUUAUUCGGAAGACGCGUCGCGUAGGCUGUUGAAGUCUGCCGAAUGAAGAGUACGGGAAGCGUGGGCCCUUCUGUGAAAGAACUGUAGCGCAAAGGCAUCCGGGCUUGAGAGGUGCCAGUGCCGGCAGACCUGCUCGACCACGUCACGGGGUGCUUUCGGCGGGUUCGGCGUGGGGUAUGACGUGCCCGCCUGACAGCAACUUCGCUGAGUACGACGUUGCUGCGCGAAUGGCGCGUUCACCACAGCACAUGCUUCAGGGUCGCUGUUACGAGCUGUUGGCUGGCGUGGAUUAGGCCGGAGUUGCCGCUGUUGCCUAACAGAACGUGUUGAAGGGAUACCGUAGCACCACAGCGGAAUUGGCACUGCCGGUCGCAAAAUGUCCACAGUUG
Dermacentor albipictus is the source of this 476-nucleotide long non-coding RNA. RefSeq lists it as uncharacterized. The record is from RefSeq and is a predicted model, not a curated record. Lineage: Eukaryota; Metazoa; Arthropoda; Arachnida; Ixodida; Ixodidae.